RNAcentral lists this ribosomal RNA (279 nucleotides) under uncultured bacterium. Its description in RNAcentral is "partial 16S ribosomal RNA". It matches the Rfam family "Bacterial small subunit ribosomal RNA", at positions 506 to 784 of the family's 1533-position model. The record is from RNAcentral.
UGCCAGCAGCCGCGGUAAUACGAAGGGGGCUAGCGUUGUUCGGAAUUACUGGGCGUAAAGCGCAUGUAGGCGGACUGUUAAGUUAGAGGUGAAAUCCCGGGGCUCAACCCCGGAACUGCCUUUAAUACUGGCAGUCUAGAGUUCGAGAGAGGUGAGUGGAAUUCCGAGUGUAGAGGUGAAAUUCGUAGAUAUUCGGAGGAACACCAGUGGCGAAGGCGGCCUUCUGGGCCGUUCCUGACGCUCAGACGCGAAAGCAUGGGUAGCGAACGGGAUUAGAUA